Molecule: long non-coding RNA, 3053 nt
Organism: Clupea harengus (Atlantic herring)
Lineage: Eukaryota; Metazoa; Chordata; Actinopteri; Clupeiformes; Clupeidae
Source: Ensembl
GGUAUGUUACUGCGGUGCUGAUGGAGGGAAACACGAGAGUGUGAGGUGAACAUUGAUCCAGCACUUUUGUUUUCCUCAGGCGUAUGGUUUGGGACAAAAAAACUGCCGUUUCAUCGCAGAGGCAGUUUGCAAUGUUUGAAGGUCUUCUACCAAUGCGUCCAACUUGUCUUCAUCCUCCAAGAGGAUUUUUUAUGAGAAGAGAUCACAAGCUGAUGAGAAUUUGACAUUACAGUAAAAAAACAAAAAAAAAGCACUGACCUCAGUGCUGACUCACAAUCAUGAGGUGAUGAACGCUGAGAUCCAUAAACACAGGGGAGGAGCAUCGGUGAAUAGGAGUAGACAGAAGCUAACAGGUCAUUGUGGAUGAUCUGGAGGAUCUGCGUCUCUCUCCACCCCCACCAGUUGAAACAGGGGACAAGGACCUUCAGAGGCCUAUGAGAGUUCGGUGUUAUAUUGGAUGACUACUGAAUGGAUGCAGGGGUGAGUGCUGCGUGGCCAUCAUCUUCCUGAGGACCCUAUCCAUUACCGUGUCAGAGGGGUGUGUGAGAGCAGGAGUGGCAGGCUGUCAACACAAGUAUCACCAUCAAAGCCUAAGUCAAUGAGGAGCGUUGGAGGGAGUCUGGAUGCUGGCCCAAGGAGUGAGAGCAUCUGUGCUGGACACAACCCCAAUACACUGGACCUGCUCAACCAUUACACAGAUUUGAGACCUUGCUGUUAAGAUGAAAGAUGUGUGUUCAUAUGCAUGUACAACAUGAUGUUUGGAGGGCUUGCUGUUCUUACUGAAUAUGUGCUGGCAAUACGUCUGGAGCACUGGGCACACGCUUAGUGUUACCGGUACAAGGACAGAGGACUGUGCUGUUUCAUGUUGUGGUUGUCGUCCUGGGUAUUAAAGUCUCAGCUAAUUCUGUCAUUUUGUCUGCGCUGUAUCCAAAGCAGUCAAUUUGCUAAGUGUAUGUAGGCCCGAGCAACAGCCCCAGUUCAGAAGUCACUCCUGGGCCCCAGGCCUCACAUGCAGUAACACCGCCCCCUCUGGACUGGAGCAUGGGACAGGUACAGACUUAUAACUAACUCUUAGACAUUACCAUACCUAUGGCCAAUCAACAAAACUGAUGACUUUUGAGGGCUGUCUUCAAAAAAUAUCCGUGAAAGGUACCUAAGUAAAGAUAAGCAGGUCUUUUAAAUGUUUGGAUAUUUUCUUAGAUGUUGAUGGACCAGUCCAAUUAUGUGUAAAUACAGGCUUUUUGCAGCUCUUUGAUUGCUAGCCAUACUCUUUUCUGCUAUGACAUAAUUUGCUUUGUUGUUUUCUUCAAUAGCGCUCCAAUGACAUCAUUGUGUUGAAACUGAACAAAAGGCAUUGGGAAAAAAAGAAUAUGAGAGGUUCAGGAACGACCAUUACAUGAAUUGGAAAUAUUAUCCAGAGCAGGGAAAAGCUAUGAAUGUCUUUCUCCUAAUAAGUGUUUGCAUUUGAUCUGUAAUGUGGUGAUUAACUGUGUUGACUCUAUAGAACCUGCUGUUGUUCCUGUUUAAAUGGACCGAUAGGCUGCCAAGAUAAUCUGUAAACAUUUUUGUUGAGUGGUGGCACUCUCCUCUAAUUAGUGUGCUGGAUGCAAGAUUAGGCCUUGUAAUUAAUUGAUUAGACGUCUUGGGGCAUGGGUAUAUCAGUUCAAUCUAGACACACUGGUAUACCGGUCGAGCACAUCCCAUCCGAAUAGAAAAUCCAAGAUCUUGACAACAAACUGGAAAGUAAGGACUGUGGUGCACCAGGUUUCACCCUAUCACUUUUUCAACUCUUUUCUUUCUUUCUGUCUGAAGUCAGGUGUUUGGUGUGGCAUAUGUCAGCGUCUUACCUGUCUAGGCAUCCCGGCGUCCCUGCUGUCCUGGGAGUCAGCCAAGCGAUGUCAAUUAGCCGUAAGCCAAUGCCAUGACGCGCUCGGGCUGUACCAGGGCUACUGUAUCAUGUUCUGGCUCCCGCAGAGCGGGGCGCAUCUGCGCGGCACCAGGACGAGCGACACCGUUUACAUGGCUUCAACAGGCUCAUGUUCGGGCGUCUUUCUGAUGCGCCAUGAUAAACCCACACACUACAUACAAGCCAGAAAGGCGAGCCAGAACCCCCAGCUCCAGUUGCUCUCCCGCUAACAUCCCCUCCACACGGUUCCCCUGAUAUCACUCUCUCGUUUUGUCUCCACCACUCUCACAACAAACUCUCUCUUUCGGCCAUUUAUACAAUGUUUUUUCUCUGUAGAUGUCUUUGUUACAUUUUUUUCUCAUAUUCUGAAGAUUUGCCAUUGAUCGUUAUGUAGUGAGAUAAUUGUGGCAACUUUUGAUCUUCUUUGAUUAUAAAACUUGUACUUUGAGAACAAAAAAUGGGAUCUUAAAUAUAUUCUCUAUAGAUGUUUCAGUAGAAUUUAUUCCAUGUUUUUCCAUGUGAAAACAAAUAAUAGUUUUACAUAUGUUUUUUUGUUUUUCAAAUGAAGCAGUUUCAUAAAGCAUUUUCAUAAGGCACAUUUAAUUUGGUUUUUAGGUUCAAGUUUUGGAACUGCAAUAAAUCUUUCCUAUCCUCUCUUUGGGAAACACCAUUCGUCUCUAUGGAGCAUCCGAGAUCCCUCUAUUAGUAAUCUGAUCUGCUCUACCAGUUUGGUGUGCAAAGGUGAGACAAUGUAGAGACAGAAGGCAAUGAAUAUGUCUUCAUCUGUAGACAUCUAAAAUGGGAAUCCAGCUGUUUGUUUGUUUAAAUUGUUGUACGCUGUCACACUGGUGCAUGUUUGUGUAUGUGUACAUUCUGUUGGAGUGACAUUGUGGGUCAGUCAGAACUCAGAAGGUUGUACCUUAAACACAAGCUGCCCUUGACCUCAUCGAGUGUUCAAUGGAGGCUUACCUCCAGGACAAUCAAAAGGUUGUGGGUGUGUGCCGUAUCCAUGCCGCGGGAGCACAAGAAAGAAAAUCUCUUAAUUCUGAGGUAUUGUUCCCUUAAUCCCCCUGUCCAUCACACAUCAGUAAGUGUUUCUUUUCUGGCCGUCCAUCAGGGAGUAAGGAGGCAACUUUCAUCUGGGAUC